CCCCUAGAAAACAGUCCCCAAAUCAGGGCCGGAUCUAGCCAGCCCUUGUUGGGGGUGCAAACAGAAUAUUGGGGGGCCAGGUUUGGGGAUACUAAGUGGUUGCGGUGUAAAAAAAUGCACAAGAAGUCCCCCUCCGAUAAAAAUCCUGUUUUUAGAGUUUGUAACAUGUCUGUUGCACUGCUCUCACCACCCCUUAAUGAGAUCCAGGUGUGUGAGCAGGUGAGGACCAAGCCCAAUCAGGCAGGCUCUACAGCCACAAUGUUUAAAAAGGUGGCAGUGUGCUGUGUGGAAAUGAGCCCUGAGCACACUGCUUCCCUGAUGACAGCCGGUUUUUCACCUGACUGCCUGACUGCCUGCUGCCACUGCUGUGUUUGCUGCUGCACAACCACUGAUGCUGUGUCAAUGUGGAAAUAAAUGUGGAAAAAGCAAAAGAAGGCUGAGUGAAUUCCUUCAACAAUCAGGGAGCUGGGGCUACUCAAGUCUAGCGACUCAGGGUUUUGAAAAAGGACUUGACAAUG
Oryzias melastigma (Indian medaka) is the source of this 518-nucleotide long non-coding RNA. RefSeq lists it as uncharacterized. NCBI's taxonomy places the organism in Eukaryota, Metazoa, Chordata, Actinopteri, Beloniformes, Adrianichthyidae. The transcript is spliced from 2 exons. The record is from RefSeq and is a predicted model, not a curated record.